RNAcentral lists this long non-coding RNA (2991 nucleotides) under Amphibalanus amphitrite. Its description in RNAcentral is "uncharacterized LOC122389053". The record is from RNAcentral. Lineage: Eukaryota; Metazoa; Arthropoda; Thecostraca; Balanomorpha; Balanidae.
UUGCUUUUUGGUCAAACUGUCAAUCAUAUGCUUUUAAAAGUUCUUUAUUAUAACCAAAAUUUAAUUUUCUUUCCAGAUAUGUAUAUUUUAUUGCAAUUUAGAAGGUGUUAAUUAUAUUUUUUGGUCUAGAAUGAAUUACCAUUCAUGCUGCUGAAGUUUACACUAUGGAAAUUAACGAAAUAUUACUAAAAAACAAGCCUAUGGCGGUGUCUAUUUCAAGAUGAAUAAUAAACAAAAUUCAAUUGUCUAUUUGUUGAUAUAAGUUGUAAAGCAUGAUGACCUCUGGCAUUUACGAGGUUUGGUGUUGAAAACUGCAGACCAUGAUUAUCACCCACAGUUGCGCACAGUUUUCUGUACUGCUUUCGCUAGCAAACGCCAGUGCUUGCAUUUGAUUGGUCUAACGGCGUUUCUUUUGCUAAUUGAGAGCACUGUUCAGUUUUAUUUUGGUUUCUGUGUAUUUUGUUGAUUUUGUUGUCGAAUUUGGUGGUAUUAGGCAAGGUAUUAGGCAUUAUUCAGUCACACAGUUCCCGUGGUAUUAUGGUAAGCAAUUUUAAUGUUUUAUUGUGAUAGGCUACGUGUGCCAGAUUGGGUGAUUUUGUUUUAAGUUUUUGUUCUAUGGUUUAGUUGAGAUGCAAAUCACCAGUGCAGAGUUUGUUGCGAGGUCAAGGCGUACCUACAUUGUUUGUUUUUAUUGAUUUGUCAUGCCUCAAUUACCAAUCCUUCGAAGUAUGUAGUCUAUCGCAAGUCUUUAUAAACCUAAUACCUAGAUUCAUUUUGUGUAUCCGCUCUCUUUGCGCGCUUCCAUGGUGUUCUCCCUCUCGAUUCCAUCCUCUUCUUCUCCGCGUAUCAACCCCCUGCUUCGGAUGGCCAUUGAGGUAGGUGCCUUUGGAGCUUGCAGCAAUGAGCGUUAGAAUUAAAUUACCAGAAAUAAAUGAUGCUGUGAAAAUUAAUCAACAAAAGCUGACAAGGAUUAGCUAUUAAAAUAUUAUAUCACUAAAAAAGUAUAUUUGUGUAACUAUCAUGAGAUACAUGUCCUGCCCCUCUGGCCAAUCCUGGUCAAUCCUGCUCCGGGUUGUACAGACAACUACCCUAUGUGGGAAGCCUGAAGCUCCCCCAGGAGUAUGGCCAUAAUAGCUGGGUUUGGUGAGUGUCACAGGACUGAUGCUGAUGCUGAUGAUGUGGUCGGGCUGUCACCUUUGCAUCGGUAGCCCUAUAAACACAGGUCGGGGGGGAGGGUAUUAGUAGGAUAAGCUUAGGAUGUUGGUUAAGCCCUUUCCUCGUCACCCGUCUCUGUCAACAGUUUUCUCCUCAGCCUCCAGAGCUGGUAGAGUCCAUCCUUGUUCUGCUCCAUCUCUUUUCUAUCAUCGUUAAAGAGGAAUGCUUCCAGUACCUCGUUGGGUUCUUCCACGUAUGGCCUCAGUAGAGCUAGUUUUCAUUGUCUUUCUUGUGUUAGCUUGGUACACUCUAGCAUAAAAUGGACUUCAUUUCCUUCUUCUUUUCCACAGAGCUUAAUCACCGUUAUCACCGCAUCCACCGUCUGCUCAAUGUGUGAGGAAUACGGAGACAAAGGCUGCUUGAUAAUUAAACAAGUUCUGUGCUUUCUCAGGAAGUCAGUACUUUGUUAGAUAUGUGAUGAGUUUAACGUAGACAAUUGCAGUCUUAUGUGUCGAUGAAACUAAAAGUCUUGGAAACAUAAUAAACUUAGCAUAACAUUCUGCCAUUGUGUUCAUGUGGCUGGCUUUGUCGUUUCUAUUGUAGGUACUAGGUAUGCUUUGUGGAUUCUGAGUUUUGACCAUAUUAUCUUCCACCAGGCUCAUUGCUGGCAGUGGUUCAGGAGACAGUCGUUCGAUUCCAGCUGUAGAGCGUCACCUGCAGGAAGUAGCAUUAUGAUGGCCAGCCACGUGGCGCGUGUAUCCAGCCACAUUGUCCAGAAACCAUCACAUCAUCUCCAGGUCACUGGUCGCGGGUGCUCGAGCUGACUGUGUCUUCAACGGCUCCACGGUGACCAGCGCCGCCACCGCCGAGACCAUCCGAUUCCUGAAAUGAUAAUGGCCGUCACGAACAAGAGGCUCUAUGCAUCUAGUUGCGAGUCAAGCGCCAUGCUCAGAGGCGUCAUCCGGAGAAGGCCGCACAGUGCACUUUAGGCUGAGCUCUGGUGUAGUGCGCGCUGACGGAUAGGAUGAAAUUACGGGCCGGCCAUCAGAUUUCAGUGCGGGGAUCAAGAUGGUCGGAGCCGACGUGGCUUGGUUGAUGGUGUGUCAGGGUCAGGGGUGGAGAAAUAGGCCGAGUAGCGGUUGCACGGGCGCAGCAAAUCCGCCGCCGCCCUAGCGGUGACCUUGACCGCCGCCGUCUGGUGCGGCUCCAAGGCCAAGCCGGCGCAGCCGGCGUGGAAUUGGGAAGGCUCGUGCUACCCCAACUCGGCACAAUUGUCCACCCCUGGUCAGGGUUGAUUGAAAGUGGAGGCGAGACGACCGGAUGUGAAGGAUACACCGAUACGGGUCUCGACGUCGUCUCGCAAUUUGUGCUAUGUAAUAUGACGGUUAUGCCGUGGUAUCAUUCACUCUCGAUGCGCUAAUAUGUAGUAAAUAGGACAGAGACUGGAAUUAAUAUUAUUAUAUUUGGAUGUAAGGGCCAGGUUUUGGCCAGCGCUAUAUUAGAAAUCGUGAGCGUGCUAGUUGCAAUCAAUCGCGCGCUUCUUGCUGAGCAUCUGUGAGCGAAAAAAUACUUUCUCUGGAACGUUCGUCGUAAAAUAUGUGUAUCUUUGGAAUAAGUUGUCAGAACAUGAAUGCAUUUUUGGUGUCCACUGCAGCUGCUGUUCUGGAACAGAAACAUACCGAGAUCGGCUGUGUAUGUACUAUGUACGCUGUGGCAAAAUCAAGCAGCCGGGCCACGAGUCAAAAGCGAUAUGUGAAUUAAAGUUGAUAUAUUUCACUAUUUUAAACAACUAAACGCCUGCGAUCACUGGAAAGUAAAUAAACAAUAGAUACCCAU